RNAcentral lists this ribosomal RNA (492 nucleotides) under uncultured bacterium. RNAcentral describes it as "bacterial SSU rRNA". It matches the Rfam family "Bacterial small subunit ribosomal RNA", at positions 501 to 989 of the family's 1533-position model. The record is from RNAcentral.
CUACGUGCCAGCAGCCGCGGUCAUACGUAGGGUGCAAGCAUUAUCCGGAGUGACUGGGCGUAAAGAGUUGCGUAGGCGGUUUAAUAAGUGAAUAGUGAAACCUGGUGGCUCAACCAUACAGACUAUUAUUCAAACUGUUAAACUCGAGAAUGGUAGAGGUAACUGGAAUUUCUAGUGUAGGAGUGAAAUCCGUAGAUAUUAGAAGGAACACCGAUGGCGUAGGCAGGUUACUGGGCCAUUUCUGACGCUAAGGCACGAAAGCGUGGGGAGCGAACCGGAUUAGAUACCCGGGUAGUCCACGCCGUAAACGAUGGAUACUAGCUGUUGGAGGUAUCGACCCCUUCAGUAGCGAAGCUAACGCGUUAAGUAUCCCGCCUGUGGAGUACGGCCGCAAGGCUAAAACAUAAAGGAAUUGACGGGGACCCGCACAAGCGGUGGAUUAUGUUCUUUAAUUCGAUGAUAACCGAAGAACCUUACCAGGGCUUGACAUCC